CCUACGGGCUGCACCAGUGAGGAAUAUUGGACAAUGGGUGGAAGCCUGAUCCAGCCAUCCCGCGUGCAGGAAGACGGCCCUAUGGGUUGUGAACUGCUUUUAUCUGGGGAUAAACCUACUUACGUGUAAGUAGCUGAAGGUACCAGAAGAAUAAGUACCGGCUAACUCCGUGCCAGCAGCCGCGGUAAUAUGGAGGGUGCAAGCGUUAUCCGGAUUUAUUGGGUUUAAAGGGUCCGUAGGCGGACUAGUAAGUCAGUGGUGAAAUCCGACAGCUUAACUGUCGGACUGCCAUUGAUACUGCUAGUCUUGAGUAAGGUUGAAGUGGCUGGAAUAAGUAGUGUAGCGGUGAAAUGCAUAGAUAUUACUUAGAACACCAAUUGCGAAGGCAGGUCACUGGUCUUAACUGACGCUGAUGGACGAAAGCGUGGGGAGCGAACAGGAUUAGAUACCCCUGUAGUC
RNAcentral lists this ribosomal RNA (459 nucleotides) under uncultured bacterium. RNAcentral's name for it is "bacterial SSU rRNA". It matches the Rfam family "Bacterial small subunit ribosomal RNA", at positions 338 to 795 of the family's 1533-position model. The record is from RNAcentral.